GAAUGGGCGAUCUGGCUGCGACAUCUGUCGCCCCAUUGAUUGCCAGCGUAGAUUCGGCUGAUCUGGCUUGCUUAGCGGGUGUCCCCUUCCUCCCUCACCACUCCAUGUGCUCCCUCCUGAAGCUUCUCGCUAGUCCAAGAGGACGACCUUCCCCUGUAGAGGAGAGGACCCUUCCGUCAAGGGUAUACGAACAGCUGCGCUCCCCGGCUAGAAUCUCCAAACAAGCUCUCAAAGUCCGUGUGUAAAUCCGCAUGUAAGUCCGCGUGAGACCGUAAGGUACUUGUCUUUCUCU
This is an unclassified non-coding RNA of Pteropus vampyrus (large flying fox), 292 nucleotides long. Its record names the gene 7SK. It matches the Rfam family "7SK RNA". From Rfam's summary of the family: 7SK was discovered as an abundant small nuclear RNA in the mid-70s but a possible function has only recently been suggested. Lineage: Eukaryota; Metazoa; Chordata; Mammalia; Chiroptera; Pteropodidae. The record is from Ensembl.